Molecule: ribosomal RNA, 253 nt
Filed under: uncultured bacterium
Lineage: Bacteria
Description: partial 16S ribosomal RNA
Rfam family: Bacterial small subunit ribosomal RNA
Source: RNAcentral
UACGGGGGGGGCAAGCGUUGUUCGGAAUUACUGGGCGUAAAGGGCUCGUAGGCGGCCAACUAAGUCAGACGUGAAAUCCCUCGGCUUAACCGGGGAACUGCGUCUGAUACUGGAUGGCUUGAGUUUGGGAGAGGGAUGCGGAAUUCCAGGUGUAGCGGUGAAAUGCGUAGAUAUCUGGAGGAACACCGGUGGCGAAGGCGGGUCUCUGGGCCGUAACUGACGCUGAGGAGCGAAAGCGUGGGGAGCGAACAGG